Molecule: ribosomal RNA, 422 nt
Filed under: uncultured eukaryote
Lineage: Eukaryota
Description: SSU rRNA
Rfam family: Eukaryotic small subunit ribosomal RNA
Source: RNAcentral
CAAUAGCGUAUAUUAAAGUUGUUGCAGUUAAAAAGCUCGUAGUUGGAUUUCUGGCAGGAGUGACCGGCCGCACACACUGUGUGCGAGUUGCGUCAUUCUGGCCAUCCUUGGUGAGAUCCUGUUUGGCAUUAAGUUGUCGGGCAGGGGAUAACCAUCGUUUACUGUGAAAAAUUAGAGUGUUUAAAGCAGGCUUAUGCCGUUGAAUAUAUUAGCAUGGAAUAAUAAGAUAGGACUUUGAGUCUAUUUUGUUGGUUUGCGAGUCAAAGUAAUGAUUAAUAGGGACGGUUGGGGUUCUUCGUAUUCAAUUGUCAGAGGUGAAAUUCUUGGAUUUAUGGAAGACGAACUGCUGCGAAAGCGUCGAACAAGGACGUUCUCAUUAAUCAAGAACGAAAGUUAGGGGAUCGAAGACGAUCAGAUACCAU